This 517-nucleotide unclassified non-coding RNA is filed under the name Pichia kudriavzevii. RNAcentral describes it as "sequence contains 18S rRNA gene, ITS1, 5.8S rRNA gene, ITS2, 28S rRNA gene". The stretch from base 150 to 302 matches the Rfam family "5.8S ribosomal RNA". Lineage: Eukaryota; Fungi; Ascomycota; Pichiomycetes; Pichiales; Pichiaceae. The record is from RNAcentral.
AGUCGUAACAAGGUUUCCGUAGGUGAACCUGCGGAAGGAUCAUUACUGUGAUUUACUACUACACUGCGUGAGCGGAACGAAAACAACAACACCUAAAAUGUGGAAUAUAGCAUAUAGUCGACAAGAGAAAUCUACGAAAAAACAAACAAAACUUUCAACAACGGAUCUCUUGGUUCUCGCAUCGAUGAAGAGCGCAGCGAAAUGCGAUACCUAGUGUGAAUUGCAGCCAUCGUGAAUCAUCGAGUUCUUGAACGCACAUUGCGCCCCUCGGCAUUCCGGGGGGCAUGCCUGUUUGAGCGUCGUUUCCAUCUUGCGCGUGCGCAGAGUUGGGGGAGCGGAGCGGACGACGUGUAAAGAGCGUCGGAGCUGCGACUCGCCUGAAAGGGAGCGAAGCUGGCCGAGCGAACUAGACUUUUUUUCAGGGACGCUUGGCGGCCGAGAGCGAGUGUUGCGAGACAACAAAAAGCUCGACCUCAAAUCAGGUAGGAAUACCCGCUGAACUUAAGCAUAUCAAUAA